RNAcentral lists this ribosomal RNA (420 nucleotides) under uncultured bacterium. RNAcentral's name for it is "bacterial SSU rRNA". It matches the Rfam family "Bacterial small subunit ribosomal RNA", at positions 356 to 773 of the family's 1533-position model. The record is from RNAcentral.
GAGGAAUAUUGCGCAAUGGAGGCAACUCUGACGCAGCCAUGCCGCGUGCAGGAAGAAGGCGCUACGCGUCGUAAACUGCUUUUAUCAGGGAAGAAACCCCCGGACGUGUCCGGGGUUGACGGUACCUGAGGAAUAAGCACCGGCUAACUCCGUGCCAGCAGCCGCGGUAAUACGGAGGGUGCAAGCGUUAUCCGGAUUCAUUGGGUUUAAAGGGUGCGUAGGCGGAACGUUAAGUCAGUGGUGAAAUCCUGCAGCUCAACUGUAGACUUGCCAUUGAUACUGGCGUUCUUGAGUGCGCUUGAAGUAGGCGGAAUGUGUCGUGUAGCGGUGAAAUGCUUAGAUAUGACACUGAACACCAAUUGCGAAGGCAGCUUACUAAGGCGAUACUGACGCUGAGGCACGAAAGCGUGGGGAUCAAAC